Molecule: unclassified non-coding RNA, 200 nt
Filed under: soil metagenome
Description: partial contains internal transcribed spacer 2 and large subunit ribosomal RNA
Source: RNAcentral
CUCAACCCUCGAGGUCUCCCUUGAACGGUUGGAUUUGGGCGUCUGCCAUUAACCCUGGCUCGCCUUAAAUGCGUUAGUGGGACCGUCGGUCUCAUGUCUGGCGUAAUAAGUUUCGCUGGUACUGGAGCGGUGGGCCUGCUCACAACCCCCCAUAUCUCGACUCUGACCUCAAAUCAGGUAGGACUACCCGCUGAACUUAA